CCUACGGGAGGCAGCAGUGGGGAAUAUUGCACAAUGGGGGAAACCCUGAUGCAGCGACGCCGCGUGAGUGAAGAAGUAUUUCGGUAUGUAAAGCUCUAUUAGCAGGGAAGAAAAUGACGGUACCUGAUUAAGAAGCCCCGGCUAACUACGUGCCAGCAGCCGCGGUCAUACGUAGGGGGCAAGCGUUAUCCGGAAUUACUGGGGGUAAAGGGAGCGUAGACGGCAGCACAAGGCUGGAGUGAAAUGCCGGAGCUUAACCCCGGAACUGCUUUGGAUACUGUGCGGCUAGAGUGCAGGAGAGGUAAGUGGAAUUCCGAGUGUAGCGGUGAAAUGCGUAGAUAUUAGGAGGAACACCAGUGGCGAAGGCAGCUUACUGGACUGUAACUGACGUUGAGGCUCGAAAGCGUGGGGAGCAAACAGGAUUAGAUACCCUUGUAGUC
RNAcentral lists this ribosomal RNA (440 nucleotides) under uncultured bacterium. RNAcentral's name for it is "partial 16S ribosomal RNA". It matches the Rfam family "Bacterial small subunit ribosomal RNA", at positions 338 to 795 of the family's 1533-position model. The record is from RNAcentral.